RNAcentral lists this long non-coding RNA (693 nucleotides) under Homo sapiens (human). RNAcentral describes it as "long intergenic non-protein coding RNA 1255". The record is from RNAcentral. Lineage: Eukaryota; Metazoa; Chordata; Mammalia; Primates; Hominidae.
CUGGUAUAUCCAGGACAUCAGCACAUAGAACCAGUGAAAGGGUCCUCCCUCAUAGUGACGCAUGUCAUAGACUCAGAUUUAUACAAACAAAUGCUGAGCAAACCAUGAAGAGUCUCUGGUAUUUUCAACAAUAUCAUCACAGAGGAACUGUAUUGAUUUCCUUCCUUCAGUGGUCCAAGAACCUGCUGCUCCCGGGUCCUCUCAUUUGAAGACACCCACCGCCUAAGGAUGAAGAGAAGCUCCUUCUUGCAGAUCUGAGGCUGAUUUCCCAACUCCCAGGAACACCCUACCCACAGCCUGUUCCCCAGACCCAGAAUUUUCCAGCCGAACUAACAGUAAUUUCAGUGACAUUAAAUACUGUUACAGGAACUUUUCAAAUGUAGAGGAGCCUUUAGAAGGAAGCCUUGAGCAUGAGGACAGACCCCCCUCAUCCAACCACCACCUGACUCUGUGUGAACCUGGAACUGUUAGAAUGUCUGUGCUGUGAUAAAAGGUCAUCUCCCUACAAUGUUAUGAUACAGACCUCAAACCUACAAACAUGAGGAACUUCUGCCUCCAGGUUAACUGCUUACCCACUGUACAAGACACGUUACACACAGUCCAGGAGGCGGAGCUUCUGAGAUAUCUAGAAACAGCUUAGAGGCAAAAUGACAAAAUAAAGCAGCAACAACAAAUAAAACCAAUCUUCUCGAA